Molecule: long non-coding RNA, 2083 nt
Organism: Gouania willdenowi (blunt-snouted clingfish)
Lineage: Eukaryota; Metazoa; Chordata; Actinopteri; Blenniiformes; Gobiesocidae
Source: Ensembl
CGACUCUAAAACAGACAAAACAACAACAAAUACAGAAAAUGCAACUCAAAGAAAACCAACGAAAUAACUCCAAAAACACAAAAGUACACAAAAAGCCUCCAACAAUCACACAAAACAAGAACAAAAACACAUAAAAUGUCUGUAUAAACACACCAAAUGACAAUCAAAACACAAUAUAAGCAAAGCAUACAUAGAAAUUGCAGAAAAAUAUACAAAAUGACAACGAAAACAGGCUAAAAGCCUUUAUUGUUUCCUGUAUUAAUGCUCAGAAUGGUCAUUAUUCUAAAUGUGGCUAAUGUGGCCCUCAGAUCAGUCAAUUAGAACUUCUGUGGUUUAGGGUGGAGCUUCUAAAGACGCGUCACUAAAAGAAAACGCCCUUCGUUCUCCUGGAGCUGCUUUUUCUCUUAAGGUCGUACAAAGCACUGAUUUUAAAAUAUAUGCAGAUUACAACAACAAAGGACGGCUGAGGUACACAAACGCUGAUUAAAUCCUCAUUACACCUGACGCUUUAUCACCUCAGAGGACAAGCGUUACCAUGACAUCAGGACAUACGGCGUUUUCUACACACACCACUAAAAAGACUAAGGACGGAUUGAUGAAGAGGACAGAAAAGCCAGACACACUGAUUUUCAUAACUAAUAAACACAACAGAGUAUCAUAUUUUCUUCAACUUAUACAGCACAACGACCUACUGUAUAUGUGGACUUUUUCAGCACCAACUACAGCACACAAGACCCAUAAAUGACUCGUAAUACACAAAAAUACACAAAAUGACUGAAAGAAUGACACCAAAUGAUUACAAUAACACACAAAACUGACUAAACAACAACAAAAGCCCACAAGAUAGAUGACUUUAAAAACAUAUAACAAUCAUAAAUACACAAAUUAAAGACUAAAAUACUCAAAAUAACUUUAAGAACAUAAAAAAACAACUAAAAUACACAAAAUGACUCUAAAAACAUUUUAAAAAAAAACUAAAGUACACAAAACGACUCCAAAAACCCACAAAAAAAUAACAAUUACGCAAAAUGAUUUAAAAAAAAAAAAAAAAAAAUACACAAAAAAACAUUGACAAAAUGAUAAAUUACACAAAAUGAUAACAAAGACCAACAAGAUAAUUCUAAAAAUACAAAAAGAAAGACAUGAAUACACAAAAUGACUCAAAAAACAUAUAAAAUAACAACAAAAUACAGGAAAUCACUCCAAAAACAUAUGAAAUAACAACAAAAACACACCAAGUAACCAAAAACAUAUAAGGUAACGAUACAAAAUUACAGCAGUUGUCUGAGUAUAUUAUUGAUCAGCACUUUUUCAGCCAAUAGCACAUCUUUUAAGAAGAGAGGCAGAACAUACAGGGAUGUGACUUAUUUGCAGAUUUUUCCUGGUGAAUAUGCCGUGUGCGAUAGUUCUGAAAAUAUGGAUCUUUUUUAUUCACCAACUGAUUAUUUUAAUUUUCAAAUAUUGAAACGUAGCGGGUCUGCCUGCCUCAGCAAAAAGGUCCUGGGUUCAAAAUCCCGGUGCUGGACGUUUGAUUCCAUUCUGUGUUGAGUUUGCAUGUUCUCUCCAUUUAUUGAUUAGUCUAAAUUUCAGCAGUAUAAAAUGUCAGUAAAAUCAUCCAAAUUGUUUUACUAUUUUUUUCUUUUCGAGGCUUUCCCUCACCUUAACUCCCUUCACUCCCUUCACUCCAACACAUUCUCCACUCCGUCGCCUCCAGAAUGAAAACAAAGGGGUGCGUUUGAUUCGGUCCACAGAGCACAGCCAUCGUUCCAUAUUCAUGUCACAGGCUGUGCGGCCGUUCCUUUUUCCUCCUGAACACACACACACACACACACACACACCCACACACACACACACACACACACACACACACACACACAGAGACGCUACCGUACUCUCAUACAUAUUCACAUCCAGGGCAGUAAUUGGAUUACCAUAAGUACUCUGAUUACAGCCACUGGUAUCAUGUUAUGCUGUAAUCACAAGAGACGUAACCUGAUUACUAAAUCCUGCAGAAUUGAUGGUGACGGUCAACAGCUCCUUCUUCCUGUCACCAUCCCUUAAUAAAAGAAACUAAACAAACGCA